GUAACAGCAAACAAUCACAAACCCAGUCCCAGCCGUCUCAGCUGUCAGGCCCUUUCCCCUCGGGUGCAGUUCCGCUCGCAGCCGGCAGGGGCGCUGGCGGCUCCCGGUGAGCAGGGCAGGUGCGAUGGUUCCCCCGCGGCUGCAGGGGGCGCUCCGGAGCGAGCUCAGGAAACACGCGGCACCGGUGCCCUGGGAUCCCGGGAAAGGAUGGAACAAAGGAGCUUCACAAACCCGUGGGCAGCCGAUCCCGGACUCUCAGGAACAGCAGGCUGGAGCGGCAGGCUGGAGCGGCAGGCUAGAACAGCAGGCUGGAGCGGCAGGGACGAGCACAAAUCCCGGGUGGCAGACGAGAUGUAUCCAGAUGGGAGAACCCCACGGAGGCCCAGGCAGGCUGGAGCGGCAGGGACGAACACAAAUCCCGGGUGGCAGACCAGAUGUAUCCAGAUGGGAAAACCCCACGGAAGCCCAGGCAGGCAGGGCAAGCAGGGCUACAGCGUAGCGAAAGCUCGAAGCAGCAGCGGGGCAGGGCAGCCACAGCCCGGCCUCCAGCAGGGCAGGGAAAGCGGCUUUUGGGGUCCCGGCGUUGUUUCCAGCAGGAAGAAAGAACGGCCAAAAAGAAAGAAGCAGCAGCUCCUUUCUCUGCAGCUUCUCUCUCCGGAUGCUCAGAGCGAACUGACCCCACACCCAGGUGUAGACAAAGGAGUAGCCAGGUCUGCCCCACCCCCCUUUUUGUCUUUCUUAAGUACAGCUAUUUGUCCCCUAGCAACAUGCAUAUGGGAGAAAAUUCCUUUAACAGGAAAAAAAACUAAGACUAAACUGAAACCCCAACAUUAUCCACCCCAAAUUUUUUCCCAUACUAACAUGUUACAUGAAACUUAACCUUUUUAACCAUAUAAAUCUAUGCAUCAUCCAAAUUAUAUACAAAUAUACAUGCUGAUACUGAUACAAGUACCGAGCCAUGGGUAGUUCACCCUAAAACAAGGUCCCCUUGAGGUAAGCAUCGGGUCUCUCCAUCCUUUUGCAUCACCCACCAGGUGCAACCUGGUCCCUGAGCAAAAACGACCCCACGGAUGGGUUUGUCUUUGCUCAAGGCAGACUUUACCCAAACAGUUUUUCCAAGCAUACCUCUCAUGUGCACCACUGGAACCUUAUCCCCGUCUGUUGUUUGUAGGGGUUCAGAUUGGGCAGGGCCUGCUCGGCUAGUGGAUCCUCGAGUGUUAACUAACCAGGUGGCUCUUGCUAAAUGCACCUCCCAGUUUUUGAAAGUCCCCCCACCCGGUGCCUUCAAGGUGGUUU
Molecule: long non-coding RNA, 1296 nt
Filed under: Corvus moneduloides (New Caledonian crow)
Lineage: Eukaryota; Metazoa; Chordata; Aves; Passeriformes; Corvidae
Description: lncRNA (ENSCMUG00000018656.1)
Source: RNAcentral